Molecule: long non-coding RNA, 141 nt
Organism: Prionailurus viverrinus (fishing cat)
Lineage: Eukaryota; Metazoa; Chordata; Mammalia; Carnivora; Felidae
Exons: 3
Source: RefSeq, a predicted model, not a curated record
UAUUACAUGGACAAGUAGAAGGAUCAGAUGAGAAGGCUGAGGAAGACUCUAUAACCAGGCGUUCCGACACACCUGUUCCUGAUGAUUCAUGGUCUACAUCAGCUAGCCAAGACUUUGAUUUUGGUACCAAGGUAAAGUACC